Molecule: ribosomal RNA, 190 nt
Filed under: uncultured Glomeromycotina
Lineage: Eukaryota; Fungi; Glomeromycota
Description: partial 18S ribosomal RNA
Rfam family: Eukaryotic small subunit ribosomal RNA (bases 56-190)
Source: RNAcentral
ACUGUCGCCGUUGAUUUCUCACCUUCUGGAGAAGCUCGGUGUCCUUAAUUGGGUGUCUUGCGGAACCAGGACCUUUACCUUGAAAAAAUUAGAGUGUUUAAAGCAGGCAUUUUUUGCUCGAAUACAUUAGCAUGGAAUAAUGGAAUAGGACGGCGUGGUUCUAUUUUGUUGGUUUCUAGGAUCACCGUGA